GCAGAGAGAGGGAGACAAGCGGAGGCUGGGGGCUGGUGGACUCAUCGAGCUGCAAAGCACAGUCAGGCGAAUGCUAAACUCUUCUGGCUGUCCAAAAGAUGCUGUGGUCCAGAUAUCCUUCUCUGGAUCUGCAGGCUGUGCUUUGCAGAAGAUUCAUUCUUCAUGGAGAAAAGCACAGCCAAUGAGGCCACAUUCUCCUGUCUUUAGACUUACUAAAGUAAAAGAAAAAAAUAGGAGAGAAAAACAACUCUACAGACAGACAUGAAGAACAGAAGCAUGUCAGUGACCGCCUGAAGAUACCACAGUAAGAAGAACUUGACCUAAGUUUCUAAAGAGGAUCUUAUCAGCUGGGGAGGACUGAUACAGCAGGAUUGAUGAUGCUGAAGUGCUUCUUGGUAAUGACCUUUCUGCAGCCAUUGACUUUUCUUUCACACAGUCUUUGGUAGCCUAACAACAAUGGGAACUAUUGUUUAGAUAACUGUGAUUUUGCUUCUUCCUUUUAUCAAAGGAUUUUAAAAACUGAAAACAGAGUUAAUGGCAGAUCUUGGAGUGUCCAUACGUAACACAGAUACAGACCAGGUACAAGAAAGCAGUGAUUCUGGAAGAUUUAUACAAUUGAAUUGCUUCUUUAUGCUGUUGAUUUCCUGAUGCUGCACCUAUGAAUCUGUCCCUUAGUGUUUAUGAUAUAUUUUCAGAAAAUAAGAUUGUACACCAAUGUUAAUUGUAAUUAUUUUAAUUAUCCCUUUUGAGGAUUCUCUUGCUUUGUCUUCACAUGGCAUAUGCAUGUAAAAGUGUGAAAUUGAGACACAUACAAGGAAUUAUGGAAAAUGUUGUAUGUAAUGUAAGAUUUUUGACUAGGAUCUGUGCAUCAACCAUGGCCAUGGCCAUCAUGUAGUGGAGCAAUUAUCAGCAUCAGCUUCAUCUUAAAAUUCUUAAUUUUCUCUGCUUUUCUUACUUUACUAUAGAUAUUCUUUCCUUUUUUAUUUUUUAUGAUACUAAUAAAAAAAAAACAGGA
Molecule: long non-coding RNA, 1015 nt
Organism: Pezoporus flaviventris
Lineage: Eukaryota; Metazoa; Chordata; Aves; Psittaciformes; Psittacidae
Exons: 3
Source: RefSeq, a predicted model, not a curated record